This 73-nucleotide transfer RNA is filed under the name Pseudarthrobacter sp. BIM B-2242. It matches the Rfam family "tRNA". Rfam says of the family: Transfer RNA (tRNA) molecules are approximately 80 nucleotides in length. Their secondary structure includes four short double-helical elements and three loops (D, anti-codon, and T loops). Lineage: Bacteria; Bacillati; Actinomycetota; Actinomycetes; Micrococcales; Micrococcaceae. The record is from Rfam by way of RNAcentral.
GCUUGUGUAGCUCAGUUGGUAGAGCGCCCGCUCGACAUGCGGGUUGUCCGGGGUUCGAGUCCCUGCGCAAGCA